ACAAAAAAAAAAAGCAAUGCAGUAGUGGUGGGUUCGAUUUCCGGCAAAACAAUUACUGUUUCAGUCUGAAAGGAAGCACCAUAUGGAAGGUGCCGCAUAUAUGAAACACGAAGAAAUACAAUAAUACAUAACUUUAAUCCUUCACAGUUCAAUUCACUUUUUCAAAGUGACUUUUUGUCAUAUUGUCUACGUCUAGAAUAAUGACAGAAUUUUCACCUUAAAAGCUAUUAAAGAUUUUUGAAGAAGUCUCUUUGUAGAACUAUUUUGGAUUUAAUACGAGGAGUAGUUUACUUAGUGAUACAAAAGCACCUCUUCAAGUGUACCGGAACGGGCUUUAUAAUUCAAGAAACAAAAUACAAUUAGGCGAGCAGAAGAUCCCCUAACAAAAUAAUUCCGACAUCUGAUAAAUAUUCAUGAAGAUGCAAUGUCCCUGGAGAGUCUAAUUAAGGAUUUUGUGGGGGCUAGCGGACUUAAUGUAUGUGAUCUUUAGGGCAACAAUCAAAGACAGUAUUAAAAAUGAUAGCACCAUU
Pieris rapae (cabbage white) is the source of this 530-nucleotide long non-coding RNA. RefSeq lists it as uncharacterized. The record is from RefSeq and is a predicted model, not a curated record. The transcript has 2 exons. NCBI's taxonomy places the organism in Eukaryota, Metazoa, Arthropoda, Insecta, Lepidoptera, Pieridae.